UGAUCUGGCUGGCUCGGUGUGUGUCCCUCCCAAAGCUUCACAUGUGCUUGAAAAGAACAACCCUUCCAGAUGGAGUAGGCCUGUUCUUCAGUCAAGGGUCUAAGAAUAGCUGCACUCCUUUUCUAGAACCCCCUGUCGCAUCGGGGGGACCAACACUGACCGCUGCUCUGGGAUGGAUGAGCAUAGCUGCCCCACUAUGGGAGGUACCUCCCCCAAAUUCAUAAACUUCAUACCAAUAAAAAUUUAGAG
This is a non-coding RNA of Fukomys damarensis (Damara mole-rat), 249 nucleotides long. Lineage: Eukaryota; Metazoa; Chordata; Mammalia; Rodentia; Bathyergidae. The record is from Rfam.